Molecule: ribosomal RNA, 257 nt
Filed under: uncultured Glomeromycotina
Lineage: Eukaryota; Fungi; Glomeromycota
Description: partial 18S ribosomal RNA
Rfam family: Eukaryotic small subunit ribosomal RNA
Source: RNAcentral
AAGCUCGUAGUUGAAUUUCGGGAUCAGUUUGUUGGUCGUGCUUCGGUACGUACUGUCAUUACUGGUUUCUCCCUUCUGAAGAACCUUGAUGUCAUUAAUUUGGUGUCUUGGGGAAUCAGGACUGUUACUUUGAAAAAAUUAGAGUGUUUAAAGCAAGCAUACGCUUGAAUACAUUAGCAUGGAAUAAUGAAAUAGGACGUUUGAUUCUAUUUUGUUGGUUUCUAGGAUCGACGUAAUGAUUAAUAGGGAUAGUUGGG